Molecule: small RNA, 251 nt
Filed under: uncultured Superficieibacter sp.
Lineage: Bacteria; Pseudomonadati; Pseudomonadota; Gammaproteobacteria; Enterobacterales; Enterobacteriaceae
Source: RNAcentral
GGCGAGGACGCCAACAGGAUUGAUGACUCAGGAUGAGGGUCAGGAGCGCCAGGAGGCGAAGACGCAGGAUUGUCAGGAAGACAGACGUCCGGAGACGUUUUACAAGGAAAGGGAACUGCAACAAGGAUUGUUCCAUGCUAAGGGAAAAACAGGGUUGGUUGUAAGCAAACAGGGAAUGUAGAGCCCGUUAAGGGUGUGAGUCAGGAAAAAAGGCGACAGAGUAAUCUGUCGCCUUUUUUCUUUGCUUGCUU